GGGUGAGUAAUAUAUAGGUAAUAUGCCUCUUACUAAGGGAUAACAGAUGGAAACGUCUGCUAAUACCUUAUAUGCCUUUUGAGCAAAAGUUCGUAAAGGGAAAGAUUUAUUGGUAAGAGAUUGGCUUGUACGGUAUCAGUUAGUUGGUGAGGUAAUGGCUCACCAAGACAAUGACACCUAACUGGUUUGAGAGGAUGAUCAGUCACACUGGAACUGAGACACGGUCCAGACUCCUACGGGAGGCAGCAGUGGGGAAUAUUGCACAAUGGACGGAAGUCUGAUGCAGCAACGCCGCGUGGAGGAUGACACAUUUCGGUGCGUAAACUCCUUUUAUACAAGAAGAUAAUGAUGGUAUUGUAUGAAUAAGCGCCGGCUAACUCCGUGCCAGCAGCCGCGGUAAUACGGGGGGCGCAAGCGUUACUCGGAAUCACUGGGCGUAAAGAGCGUGUAGGCGGAUUGAUAAGUUCGAAGUGAAAUCCAAUAGCUUAACUAUUGAACUGCUUUGAAAACUGUUGAUCUAGAGUGUGGGAGAGGUAGAUGGAAUUUCUGGUGUAGGGGUAAAAUCCGUAGAUAUCAGAAGGAAUACCGAUUGCGAAGGCGAUCUACUGGAACACAACUGACGCUGAGACGCGAAAGCGUGGGUAGCAAACGGGAUUAGAUACCCCGGUAGUCCACGCCCUAAACGAUGUACACUAGUUGUUGCCUUGCUAGACAAGGCAGUAAUGCACCUAACGGAUUAAGUGUACCGCCUGGGGAGUACGGUCGCAAGAUUAAAACUCAAAGGAA
Molecule: ribosomal RNA, 786 nt
Filed under: uncultured bacterium
Lineage: Bacteria
Description: bacterial SSU rRNA
Rfam family: Bacterial small subunit ribosomal RNA
Source: RNAcentral